ACGUAGGGUGCGAGCGUUAAUCGGAAUUACUGGGCGUAAAGCGUGCGCAGGCGGUUUUGCAAGCCGGAUGUGAAAUCCCCGGGCUCAACCUGGGAAUGGCAUUCGGGACUGCAAGGCUGGAGUGCGGCAGAGGAGACUGGAAUUCCUGGUGUAGCGGUGAAAUGCGCAGAUAUCAGGAAGAACACCUAUGGCGAAGGCAGCUCUCUGGGACGGUACUGACGCUGAGACGCGAAAGCGUGGGGAGCGAACAGGA
This 253-nucleotide ribosomal RNA is filed under the name uncultured prokaryote. Its description in RNAcentral is "partial 16S ribosomal RNA". It matches the Rfam family "Bacterial small subunit ribosomal RNA", at positions 525 to 777 of the family's 1533-position model. The record is from RNAcentral.